Molecule: long non-coding RNA, 261 nt
Organism: Dioscorea cayenensis subsp. rotundata (Guinea yam)
Lineage: Eukaryota; Viridiplantae; Streptophyta; Magnoliopsida; Dioscoreales; Dioscoreaceae
Exons: 5
Source: RefSeq, a predicted model, not a curated record
CAUGUUUGGCCAAUGGAGAUGAGCAGCAAAGUGCCUGUUGGAAAGUUUAGGUUUCACGAGAUCCCCGGUUUGAAUCUUUAUGUGGAACUCUUGACACAAAUGGCCGAUUAAUGAGCUUAGAGAAGGGUUGGGAGACAUGUUCAAGUGUUUCUCAUUAGGGAUGGAAGGACAAAAUGGAUCUGAGUAUGCAGUCACUUAUGAAGAUAAAGAUGGAGAUUGGAUGUUGGUUGGAGAUGUUCCAUGGGGGAUGUUCAUCUCCUC